UGCUCCAUCCCUCAGAGCAAACGGGAAGAGCAUGAGUUUGUACACCUCUGGGUUCACUCCAUUUGUCUUCACAGUAUCACAAAUCUGCAGAAAAUUAGAAAUAAAUUGAUUUGGGUCUUCGUGGAGAAGACCAUGAUACUGACAGUUUUAUUACACUAGGGUGACCAAUUGUGGCUUCAACUCAAAGUUGUUCACAGUUAUGGGAGGUACCACAAUGCUUUUACCAUAAAGGUCUGCAGUAGGAGCAGAGUAAGAGCCAAUCACUCUUCUUUGUUCUUCAUUCCCAUUCGGAUUUGCCACAUUGGCAUUAACAGCAUUAUUGUGAUCCAUGAUGGAUUCUACAGGCUUGCUAAGUCUUGCUUAUUGUAAACGUCGCCUACAAGUCCUUUUAGGUUCUGGAUCAAAGUCUAACAGAGGUUCCUUGUCUCUAUUCCUUAUAAUCAAAUCACAU
Molecule: non-coding RNA, 451 nt
Organism: Arachis ipaensis
Lineage: Eukaryota; Viridiplantae; Streptophyta; Magnoliopsida; Fabales; Fabaceae
Source: RefSeq, a predicted model, not a curated record